RNAcentral lists this long non-coding RNA (1819 nucleotides) under Homo sapiens (human). RNAcentral's name for it is "HSALNT0199535". The record is from RNAcentral. Lineage: Eukaryota; Metazoa; Chordata; Mammalia; Primates; Hominidae.
CAUCACUGGUUUUAUACGUAUUUUUGUCCGGAGAGGUUGGGCAUUUCCCUUACCUCCAUCUGCUGGAAUUAGGUAUUUUAAACUUUUUCUCUGCCACCUUGGUUAGCCUAGAAUAUGAAAUCUUAAUGAAUAAGGUUGCACUCAUAUCAUAAAAUAAAAUAUAUAUUAUAAAGGAACAAGCUGUUUAAGCUCUAUUUGUUAAGGUUUCAUGAUUAUGUCUGAAAUUAUAGGAAAAAAGUAUUCAAGGUAAAGCUCUAUGAUCUUGUUCCUGGAGUUUGAACAAAAAUACACUCUUGUCAGACUGUAGGCUGGUGAAGUCCCCAGGUGCCCUUUUCAAGGGCAGAGCCCCAGAUUCCAUGGCUACCGUGGGAGUUUAGGUGUGCUUAGCAUUUCACUUGCUGUGGGAAAAGGAAUGUUAAAUAACACAUAUUUUUUAAAAGUGUCCCUUUCUGUCUUAGUCUUUUCGGGCUGCUAUAACAAAACACCUUAGACUUGGUGGCUUAUAAACAAUAAAAAUUUGUUUCUUACAGUUCUGGAGGCUGCAAAGUCCAAGAUGAAGGCAGAUUCACUGCCUGGUGAGGAGGGCCUGCUUCCUCGAUCCAGGACAGCACCGUCUCACAGUGUGCUCACGUGAGUAUUAAACAAAUAGAACAACUGUUCAUGAAAGCAGACUGUGAAGCACUGGGCAGAAUUCAGUGGGGGUGGCUUCCGCACGUAUCUGCAGCUAGAGUAUUUGGAGCGAGCUAAUGCUUUGGCCCGACAGAAAGAGGUUUCCUUCCUGCUGCCUGCUGCGCUGCGGAGGCUGUCAUAUGGGGGUCCCGUGCUGCGCAUUCUCUCUAUGCCUGACGACACCUUAAUCAUGAUCAGAGAAGAUGGAGCUAUUUAUUUCUGGUCCCUGCAGCUGAAGUUGAAAAGAAGAAAGCGGGUCUUUGUAUGUGAUUUUCAUUUGAUAAGGAUGCUGAGUGCUACAGUUUGAUUUUAUUUGCUAUUUUAAACUGCUUCUUAAGUGGUGUGAUUACAUAAAUUGUGUCCUUGAAUAUAAUAUAUUCAUGCUGGAUUUUGCUAGUCUGUAGAAUGCAAAUAAAAUAUGAUCUCUCUAUGUAGUGCAAGAUAAAGCUUCAUUUUGCUUCUAAAAUCAGAUGGAAUGAUGAAUUACAUGUGAUUCCAUCAUGUGAUUUAUUGUAUGUCUUAAUGAAUGACAAAUAGAAAAGAAUCUUCCCUUCCUCCACCCAUUAACGGUUAUAUCAGUUUAGGUAGCUAUGUUAGGCCUUCUCUUCAGAGAACUUACUGAAUGACAGAAUCAGAAAUUCAAAAGACAAAAAGCACUGGGGAGGUAUGCUUAGGAAUGACAAUGCCUGACCCAUUCCAGGAUAUGUUCUAUUUUUAAAGCCAUUCUUUUUAUUAUCUCAACAAAUAUUUUAGUCUCUGUCAUAGACCAGGCAUUGUGAUGGGUGCUGGGAACACAGAAACCCAGUCUCUGCCCUCAGGAAAUGUAUAAUCUAUCCCAGAUAUUAUAGCUGCCCCAAAGCCCUCGGGAUGCAGAAUAUGCUCUCCCUAGAGACAGAAAAUAAAGUUGAUUCUCCAAAUCUAUGAAACAAAUUAUUUCCACUUGAAGGAGAAAAUAAAGAAAAUUAUAUGAUGUUAAACAUGCAUACUACAGGCAAGAAUGGCUUGAGACAACUGAAAAUGUCUGAUCAUUAAAAAGGCAUAUGCUUGUUCAUUUUCACCCUUCAACCCUUUAGGACAAGUCCACCAGCCAGAACCCCAGGUGGAUGACAGAUGUCAUCUGCAUGCUACACUGCAAUAAACUGAUCAUUGG